CCUACGGGAGGCAGCAGUGAGGAAUAUUGGUCAAUGGACGAGAGUCUGAACCAGCCAAGUAGCGUGAAGGAUGACUGCCCUAUGGGUUGUAAACUUCUUUUAUAUGGGAAUAAAAUGUUCCACGUGUGGGAUUUUGUAUGUACCAUAUGAAUAAGGAUCGGCUAACUCCGUGCCAGCAGCCGCGGUAAUACGGAGUGUCCGAGCGUUAUCCGGAUUUAUUGGGUUUAAAGGGAGCGUAGGUGGAUUGUUAAGUCAGGUGUGAAAGUUUGCGGCUCAACCGUAAAAUUGCAGUUGAAACUGGCAGUCUUGAGUACAGUAGAGGUGGGCGGAAUUCGUGGUGUAGCGGUGAAAUGCUUAGAUAUCACGAAGAACUCCGAUUGCGAAGGCAGUUCACUGGACUGCAACUGACACUGAGGCUCGAAAGUGUGGGUAUCAAACAGGAUUAGAUACCCCUGUAGUC
Molecule: ribosomal RNA, 460 nt
Filed under: uncultured bacterium
Lineage: Bacteria
Description: partial 16S ribosomal RNA
Rfam family: Bacterial small subunit ribosomal RNA
Source: RNAcentral